GCCUACGGGGCGCAGCAGUGGGGAAUAUUGGGCAAUGGGCGCAAGCCUGACCCAGCAACGCCGCGUGAAGGAUGAAGGUUUUCGGAUUGUAAACUUCUGUCGCGAGGGACGAAGAAUGACGGUACCUCGUAAGAAAGCCCCGGCUAACUACGUGCCAGCAGCCGCGGUAAUACGUAGGGGGCAAGCGUUGUCCGGAAUGACUGGGCGUAAAGGGAGUGUAGGCGGCAGCGCAAGUCUGGAGUGAAAUGCCGGGGCCCAACCCCGGAACUGCUUUGGAAACUGUGCAGCUCGAGUGCAGGAGAGGG
RNAcentral lists this ribosomal RNA (305 nucleotides) under uncultured bacterium. RNAcentral's name for it is "bacterial SSU rRNA". It matches the Rfam family "Bacterial small subunit ribosomal RNA", at positions 337 to 658 of the family's 1533-position model. The record is from RNAcentral.